GAGACAGUAAUAAUUUUGGACCAAAGAAAUAUGGAAUACAGUAGCAUUUUGGGUUACCCUCAACAAUCUGUCGUGUCCAACCAGGGAUACUUGAUAUUUUCUUAUUAAGAUCAACCUUGAAAUUACCUUAAACUUUAGACAUGAGCAGGCCCAGCAGGUUUUUGCUUCACAGGGUGUGCUAAAUUCUGUAUGGUUCUGUUUAUCCAGACUGAUUUGAUUGUCAAAAUCCUCACUCAGAGACAAUUUACACCCUUGCUGGUGUCUCCUGAGAUGUUGUUGCUUACCUUGGGUAUUUUUCUGAAGUGAUACUGCUCAUUUCUUGGGACCACUGGCUUCAGUUCACCUCAUCCAAUUCUCAAAAAGAAUAAAAAUAUUUACUGUAUAAUAAAACACAGUGUAAUAAUACUUCAUGAGAUUUUGUACAGACCUGUGUUUUCACCCUAAAAACCUUGUUUUCAGAAAUCUUGAACAGCCUUUUCAGUAACAAAGUGGAAUAUAUGGAAUAUAUUUAGGCCCUUUAGGGAGUUGCUGUAGAAGCUCCACAAUAAGUGAAGAGAGAGAACCUGUAGGAGCAGUUUUACUUCUUCCUUCACCCCAAAUUUGUCUCCUUGAGGGGUGCAGGGCACAUUGAAAUUUGCAGUAUCUUAUUUCAUGAUAUCAUGGGAUACCUUUUUAUUGAUCUCUCUGGGAAAGCCUGCAGUGUCUAGGACAGGUCUUAUCAGAUGGGAACAAUCUCUUGCCUCAGCUGCAAGAUUUUGCCUUUUUAAUCUCUCCUAGUGGGUCCAUGAGAGCUCAAAUAGAUGUGGGAGGUGGGGAGUCUGUCAACCAUCCACAGCUGUUAAUGUUCCUUGUGUUAUACAAGGCACAUGUUUGGACUGGGUAAAAUGACAUGGUUUCUUUUUAUUUUCAUUUCCCCCACACACCUCUUAUUUGGUCCUCAGAUUCAGAAGUGUUUGACAAGAGCCUGUGAGUCAGCAGCUUUGCUAGAACACCUGCUGUCAGCAGGAGAUGCUCCUGGAAGCAAACCUGAAGGAGGAGAAAUGCUGCAUCAGGAGCACUUAACUUCAGGAGAGGAUUUCUUCACUGAGCAGACACUGAGUUUGAAGGACUGUGCCCUGUCUUCCUUGUUGUGCACAUCUUGAGGUUCUAGUGGUGAGCAAGGACGUGCAAAACCAGAGCAUCCUCUGCACAGGGAGCUUGAAGGAGCGUGGCAGCUGCUCACAGAAGAAAACUGCCCCUGCAAGGUGCCAAGAAGUGUUUCUAUUUUAGCUUUUCUUAGUAGAAAAAGCUAAAUGAGAGGUACUGCUCCUCCAGAACAUGUAGCAGCACCUAGGAAGGUCCCUGGCUUCUAAAGCCUUGUAGCUGGUUUUUAGUCUUUCUUGUCAUAGGGUGGUUAACAGACUUUAUGCUCUUUACCACCAAAAUCUCAGAAAACUUGUGUGAAAAUUUCAUGUAUCAUGUGUGUUACGUGCACUGAAAAAUAACACACCUGGGGAUUUGGAAUAAGGAAGGAAUGGAAAUGAGACCAAGCAAAUGGAGAGUCUUUUUGAGCAGAUACAUUUGAAAAUUCACAUCUUUCCAUGUGGAAAAAAACUUACCUGCUUUUAGUAAGACAAAAGGAAACCCCAAACCAGGGUGAAACUCUUGCUGUGCUACAUGUUCUGGCUCUAAUAACACAAUUCCUUUGCAGGUGCCUUUCUUGGCUCCCCCUGAUGUCAGCAGGGAAAAGCUGCAGCUCCCCACAGCUUGGGAGGGUCCAUCCAUGCCCGUGUUUGACACUGUCUCACUUCAGCCAGUGGAUUUAGCUUCAAGCACGUCUUUAAAAUCCCAUUGAGGCUUUGUAUUGGCACAAAUGUAAGUGGCAUCUUAGCUUGUGCUAAAUUUGGUGCUGGAGUGCCUGGAUAAAUGUGUGUUUGAGUUGUGGCCUCUGAAAGUGCAUGUUUGUAUAAUUUAAUAUCCUGAUUUGUGCAAGGAGGGAACAUUUACUGGGAUACUGAAGGAGUCAGGUUAAUCUUUGUGCAUCCUGAAAUCCUCCUAUGAAUCCCUGCAAGGCUUUGGGCUCAAAAACCCCCAUGCUCAGAGUGCUGCUAGGUGAAGAAAAUCAUCCAUAAAGUAUUUUUAUUUAUCAGAAGCAAGGAGCUC
This is a long non-coding RNA of Parus major (Great Tit), 2142 nucleotides long. The record is from Ensembl. NCBI's taxonomy places the organism in Eukaryota, Metazoa, Chordata, Aves, Passeriformes, Paridae.